CCCUUAGAUGUUCUGGGCUGCACGCGCGCUACACUGGUGCGUUCAGCGAGUUUAGCACCUUAACAGAUAUGUUUGGGUAAUCUUCUGAAAACGCACCGUGAUGGGGAUCGAUUAUUGUAAUUAUUAAUCGUCAACGAGGAAUUCCUAGUAAGUGUGAAUCAUCAGUUCGCGCUGAUUACGUCCCUGCCCUUUGUACACACCGCCCGUCGCUGCUACCGAUUGGGUGUGCUGGUGAAAUGUUCGGAUCGGCCGUUUGUCGCGGUUUCCGCGGCUCGUGGCUGAGAAGUUCAUUAAACCCUCCCACCUAGAGGAAGGAGAAGUCGUAACA
This 328-nucleotide ribosomal RNA is filed under the name uncultured eukaryote. Its description in RNAcentral is "partial 18S ribosomal RNA". It matches the Rfam family "Eukaryotic small subunit ribosomal RNA", at positions 1470 to 1796 of the family's 1831-position model. The record is from RNAcentral.